AGUCAAAGGGAAGACUUUGCCAAAUUAUCCAUCUUUUGCGUCUUGCAGUUAUAACCUGUGUUAUUUUUGAUACCAAGGAAAUGUAUGCAUUUAAAACAAAUCCUUAAAUACAGUGAUAGCAACAAUCCUGCUGGAUUAGGUGGCACGUACAAAUGCAAAUGGUUUUAGAAGGAAUGAUCAGUUCACUGGACAACUUAGCAUUCAAUACAGUUCUACACUAGCCUGUUACGACCAUGGCCUUAUUGAUUGAUUUGGGUAAAACAAGAUAAGAUUAUGCAUUGGAGUAGAAAGCCCUGUCUUUCUCUGCAGGGUUUGGUUAUAAAAACCUGUUUAGG
RNAcentral lists this long non-coding RNA (335 nucleotides) under Bos taurus (domestic cattle). RNAcentral's name for it is "long non-coding RNA NONBTAT015443". The record is from RNAcentral. Lineage: Eukaryota; Metazoa; Chordata; Mammalia; Artiodactyla; Bovidae.